GAUGAACGCUGGCGGCGUGCCUAAUACAUGCAAGUCGAGCGAACGGACGAGAAGCUUGCUUCUCUGAUGUUAGCGGCGGACGGGUGAGUAACACGUGGAUAACCUACCUAUAAGACUGGGAUAACUUCGGGAAACCGUAGCUAAUACCGGAUAAUAUUUUGAACCGCAUGGUUCAAAAGUGAAAGACGGUCUUGCUGUCACUUAUAGAUGGAUCCGCGCUGCAUUAGCUAGUUGGUAAGGUAACGGCUUACCAAGGCAACGAUGCAUAGCCGACCUGAGAGGGUGAUAGGCCACACUGGAACUGAGAAACGGUCCAGACUCCUACGGGAGGCAGCAGUAGGGAAUCUUCCGCAAUGGGCGAAAGCCUGACGGAGCAACGCCGCGUGAGUGAUGAAGGUCUUCGGAUCGUAAAACUCUGUUAUUAGGGAAGAACAUAUGUGUAAGUAACUGUGCACAUCUUGACGGUACCUAAUCAGAAAGCCACGGCUAACUACGUG
RNAcentral lists this ribosomal RNA (497 nucleotides) under uncultured bacterium. RNAcentral's name for it is "partial 16S ribosomal RNA". It matches the Rfam family "Bacterial small subunit ribosomal RNA", at positions 28 to 507 of the family's 1533-position model. The record is from RNAcentral.